CCUACGGGAGGCAGCAGUGAGGAAUUUUGCGCAAUGGGGGAAACCCUGACGCAGCGACGCCGCGUGGAGGAUGAAGGCCUUCGGGUCGUAAACUCCUGUCAGAGGUGAAGAAUGCCCGCAAGGGUUUGACGGUAACCUCAAAGGAAGCCCCGGCUAACUACGUGCCAGCAGCCGCGGUAAUACGUAGGGGGCAAACGUUGCUCGGAAUUACUGGGCGUAAAGGGUGAGUAGGCGGCUGGGCAAGUCAAGGAUGAAAUCCCGCGGCUUAACUGCGGAAUGG
This 280-nucleotide ribosomal RNA is filed under the name uncultured bacterium. Its description in RNAcentral is "partial 16S ribosomal RNA". It matches the Rfam family "Bacterial small subunit ribosomal RNA", at positions 338 to 623 of the family's 1533-position model. The record is from RNAcentral.